GCAUAGGUCAGCGGUAGAGCUUCUGUCUUGCAUGCAGAAGGUCCCAGGUUCAAUCCCCGGCAGCUCCA
Podarcis lilfordi (Lilford's wall lizard) is the source of this 68-nucleotide non-coding RNA. The record is from the annotation of a GenBank genome assembly. NCBI's taxonomy places the organism in Eukaryota, Metazoa, Chordata, Lepidosauria, Squamata, Lacertidae.